GCGAAUCGAUGGGAGCUUGCUCCCUGAGAUUAGCGGCGGACGGGUGAGUAACACGUGGGCAACCUGCCUAUAAGACUGGGAUAACUUCGGGAAACCGGAGCUAAUACCGGAUACGUUCUUUUCUCGCAUGAGAAAAGAUGGAAAGACGGUUUACGCUGUCACUUAUAGAUGGGCCCGCGGCGCAUUAGCUAGUUGGUGAGGUAAUGGCUCACCAAGGCGACGAUGCGUAACCGACCUGAGAGGGUGAUCGGCCACACUGGGACUGAGACACGGCCCACACUCCUACGGGAGGCAGCAGUAGGGAAUCUUCCGCAAUGGACGAAAGUCUGACGGAGCAACGCCGCGUGAACGAAGAAGGCCUUCGGGUCGUAAAGUUCUGUUGUUAGGGAAGAACAAGUACCAAAGUAACUGCUGGUACCUUGACGGUACCUAACCAGAAAGCCACGGCUAACUACGUGCCAGCAGCCGCGGUAAUACGUAGGUGGCAAGCGUUGUCCGGAAUUAUUGGGCGUAAAGCGCGCGCAGGUGGUUCCUUAAGUCUGAUGUGAAAGCCCACGGCUCAACCGUGGAGGGUCAUUGGAAACUGGGGAACUUGAGUGCAAAAGAGGAAAGUGGAAUUCCAAGUGUAGCGGUGAAAUGCGUAUAGAUUUGGAGGAACACCAGUGGCGAAAGCGACUUUCUGGUCUGUAACUGACACUGAGGCGCGAAAGCGUGGGGAGCAAACAGGAUUACAUACCCUGGUAGUCCACGCCGUAAACGAUGAGUGCUAAGUGUUAGAGGGUUUCCGCCCUUUAU
RNAcentral lists this ribosomal RNA (795 nucleotides) under Peribacillus simplex. Its description in RNAcentral is "bacterial SSU rRNA". It matches the Rfam family "Bacterial small subunit ribosomal RNA", at positions 66 to 843 of the family's 1533-position model. Lineage: Bacteria; Bacillati; Bacillota; Bacilli; Caryophanales; Bacillaceae. The record is from RNAcentral.